Molecule: small RNA, 125 nt
Filed under: Marmota monax (woodchuck)
Lineage: Eukaryota; Metazoa; Chordata; Mammalia; Rodentia; Sciuridae
Source: RNAcentral
GCCAGGUGUGGUGGUGCAUACCUGUAAUCCCAGCAGCUUGGGAGGCUGAAGCAGGAGGAUCACAAGUUCAAAGCCAGCCUCAGCAAAAGCCAGGUGCUAAGCAACUCAGGGAGACCCUGUCUCUA